Molecule: long non-coding RNA, 6698 nt
Filed under: Gallus gallus (chicken)
Lineage: Eukaryota; Metazoa; Chordata; Aves; Galliformes; Phasianidae
Description: long non-coding RNA NONGGAT005052
Source: RNAcentral
UUUUUACCCUUUCAAGAUAAUAUUUAUUCAGCACAGAGUUUAGAGAAUGAUAACAGUCCUGUAAAUACGACGCUUCAUCACCACCCAUCACCACAGACAGAGGAAAGGAACUAUUUUACUUUCUCAUAUUUAUUCUUAGAUUUCUUCCGAGAGCAUAAAAGCAUUCUAUUACGUGACCCACGGUAGUGAUGUAACCAGUCUCCAGCCAGAAAUAAACAUACUUCCUUCACCUCCUCCAGCAUGGUUUGUGCCGACAGCCAAAAGUGAAUGGCAGGGAUUGAAUAACGGAUGAAUGUUUUCCUUUCCUCUUUGUCUUCAGAGAAACAAACAGUUCACUGAGUGGAGAAAGCAAAAAUGAAAGCCUAGGAUCCUUUUCCUGCCGUUAGGACUGCUGAUGGGUGGAUGGGAGCUGUCUACUCUGCUGACUCUGGAUGCACACCGAUGCCCAACACCCCUCGCUCUGCAGCAGGGCGGUGGGUGCCGGGCAGGGAUGCUGCCAUGGAGGCUGCUUGCAGGACAUGGAUGCUGGAGCCCUGCGGGAACACUUCCCGGUGCCCACUGCUCCAGAGAGCCCCCCGGUCCAGUCUGAGGGCUGCACAGCCGGGGCCCCAUGGUGGGAAGUGGGUCCUUGCUAACAGGGAGGAAAAAGCCUCAAAGCAUUGGAAGGAAAACGAUGCAGCGGCCUCAGAUGUCCAGAGGAGUGCUGUGCGGAUCCCUCCUGGGUCCUCAUCUGCAGCUCAUCUGCAAGGUGUGAAUUCCUCACCUGUGUUGGGGUGAGCUGAGGUGUGAGUACCUACCCACUGGAAAUGAGGGGGUUUGAAAUGGUGUUAGGCUUUCUGCUGCAGUCAGCAGAGAGGGACCAGAUAUCUUGCCUAGGCUGCUGCAAUGCGAAGAACUGAGAUAACUAAGAUCAGAUUUCAAGUACGUCCUACAAGCAAAGCAGAGCAACCCUUGCUGUGCCCCGUGUUCUACCAGCUCGCUUAGUGCACUUUGCAUGCAGCGAACCUGUCUUGAGAAUGUUGAUAGAGAUUAAGCACCACCUCUUCCAGAGCAAUCUGGUUGGUUUAUAUAUCUGUAGUAGCACAAUCCUUCUGAGGCUGCCCAUUUCCCUGCUUCUGCAUCUCCGAAAUAACAGGCUGUGACAUUUCCUCUUUGAGCACGCUCAACCAGAGGCCGUCUGCUGUCUUUGGAAGGGAGUGGUGAUGCCUACAGCUCCAUCAGCUCACUUACCAGAAAUGCAGCAUCUCAAAGUGAGCGGUGCCCCUCUGCUGUUGGCUCUGUGUUGGGAAACUGAAUUUAAAACCCACAGGGCCUGCAGGUUUGUGAAUUCUCUGCCAACUGAACAAACUGUCCAUGGGUGUUUGAUCUGCGUCCUCCAUCCGCUUCUCUGCACACUGCUAAAUCAAAGCAAAGGAAGAACAUGCUGCUCUGCAUCGUGGUGUUGAGCAGUGCUGUCUUUCAGAUGAGGGGCAGUUGGGCACAUCGCCUGGAAACCUGCGGCUGUGGUGCAGAUGUCAUUUGAUGUGUUCAUAGCAUCACUGCUGUCACUGUGUGUCUGUGGUGUGGCUGCUGGUAAGUCAGUAGCAGAGGAUGCCGUGGGCAAUGCCUACUCAUGGAGGGACAGAAAACAGUGUCGCUGCUGCUGGCAGCUCUGCUCUUUGUGCCUCUCCUACCCUGGGAUGUUCGCUGCAGGGCUGUGCUGCUGCACCCAAUGGGCACUGCAAAGCUGCUCAGCUCUCCUCCCUGCUGGCAAUGCUGUGCCACUGGUUUUAAUUACUAUCUCACCUGGGACUCUGAAAUCCCUCACUACCUCGCUGCCUGUUUGAAGAAAACAAACCCUUUUUUGUUGGUGAAAAUAAUUAUUUUACCUUGAGAAGGCAAUUAAAAGCCUGAGCUCACCAGAUGUAUUUCUAAAGGACUCUUUGCAAAUCUUUGGGAGAGAAGAGAAAUAAUUCUCCUAAAUCAGGAGGCAGAUCAAUAACACACGUUGCUCUGCAGAAGGCCGUGUUUAUUUUGCCUGCCAGCAGUGAAACUCAAUAGACCCCCAGCAGUCGAAGAAGAAAUGAGACCUCUGUGGUUUUGCAUUGUGAGUUUCCUGUGUCUGUGUUUUUUGUUUUGCUCGUUUGUUUUUGUCAUAUGAAAUCUAUUGGCAAAUAAUGGGCAAUGAUCAGCACUUUAUUUUCAUCUGGCAUUUAAUCAAAGGGACGUGCUACAUCUGCACAAUAGCUGGGCUAAUUGCUCAACCAAACAGGACAAACCAUUGUUCAUCCUCAAGGCUGAUGGAAUAAAUAUGAAUAUCAUCGUGGUUGAUCACAGAGAUUACAAAGAAAAUGGGGCAAAGACCCCAUUCCCCUUUCUUGGCUGCAGCAGGUGGGGGGCACAGAAACAAAAUUCAGGUGGUGGAGGAGAACGACUGCAUUGCUGAGGAGGACAGGAGUGCAUCCUUACAGCGUGACCUUUGGUGCUGUCACCUCUUCCCUGACUGCUGCUGCACUUCUGCCUUCAGCUGUGCAGAGGGAAAGGUUGGAAAUGCUGCAGAAUGGAAUUGUUUACUCUCCGGGGUCAGUAGAAGUACUAAAGAAGCUCUACAUGAUUAAUUUGUGCUCUUGCAUCAAUGCCUUUCAUGUGUGCAGGAGAAUGGGCUCUUUGCAGAUGAUUCAUUAGGCCUUCAAAGCAAGACAUAAAAAGACAAAUCUCCUGGUGGGAAGUCAGCAAUCCCUGCAGAACUGCCUCCAGACUGCGCGCUUCGCUCUGAUGUUGAGAUGGGUACGGCACUCCAAGCUUAAAGGCUGUGCAGAUAUAUCUGGGAACUUUGGCAAUGGAAGCAGUGAAACCCUCACAUCCCCGGAGCUCUUCACCUGCUGUGUCAGAUGGCACUGACACUGUCAGUGCUCCGGAGUUUCUGCAUGUUGGUUUUGCUCUUCACCUUCCUCCCCACUGGGCUCAGCAGGAAAAUGGCCUCAGGGCAAAAAGCCAAGAGUCAAAGGAGAGAAAUUCAAAAGAGAAACGAAGGAAACUGGAAUCAGAGGAAAAAAAUCCAGAGGAAAAAGUGCAUCCCCAGCAGCCUGGCCGUGCUAAUUGCUGUUGGAGCUCCCUGGCAGGUGGAGGAAAAGCAAAUGUUUUGGCCAGCAUGGGCUGGGUGCCGAGGAGCCUGCUGGGUGCUGCUGGGACUGAGCAGCCGUGUUCAGCCCGGCCUGCUUUUAGCAUCACUACAUUUCCAACAUGCUCUCCUAAUCCGGGAUCAAAGCAUGCAGUCAGCAGAAGGCAUUUGGAGGGAGAACAGUGCUGUUUUCCAUCCGUUCCCCUCUGCCAAGAAAGCUGUUCUUGCUGAGGAGCUCCCAGCACGGGUUAUGGGAUCACACCGGCUUCUGGGAGUUGAUCUCUGCCCUCCUGCAAGGAGCAGAACACAGGGAGAGCCCCGUGAGCAUCCCCUGUGCUGCACAGAACGGCAGCGUCAGGCACAGAACCGCAGAGCAGAGCAGGCACUGCUCACAGCGCUGUGCAAACACUGAGCGACAACAUUUUGGAAGAGGAGCCUCCCCGCGAGAUGGGAGGCAGUGCAGAAUUAGGGGUUUUCAAUCACAGCGGCUCCACGAGAAAAGAAAUGCAGCUGCUGCUCUGAAAUCGGUCUGAAUCCUGCAGACAGCCACUGCCGUGCGGGACAAAGUGCUGCCAGGUGGGAGAAAUCCCCGUCAGCAUUCGCUGCAGGGAAGGUGGAUGGAGUAAUGAGAGCGAGCAGAGGCGUGGGAUGGAUGUUUCACUCCAGAGCUCCAAUCCAUUUAUAUAAUCAUAGUUGUUAUCGCAGUAAAUGUAAAUAACUGAUUGAGUUCAAAUGUAGUGUUUGACAACGCUGAUUCUUUGUGAGUACACACUGAAUUCUUGGAGAAUUACUUUAUUUCAUCAGACAGACCCGCAAUGUGUUCAACAGCCCUUUAGGCAUUUAGGUUGGGCCGUACUCUGUGAUUUUUCUUGCUCUCCAAAGCAUAAAGCCUCUUACAAGUUCAUGUUUUAAUCAAUUGCUUGAAUCAAAGUAUGUGGCAGUUUGGCAGCUUGCCCUUUGCUGCAUUGCUAUAGCUGCAAUAAUAGCAAUAAUGAUAUCAUGAAAAUACAAAAAGGCUGCUUUGCACCUUGUCAGCCCACGGCAAUGAAUAACCAGGAUGACCUUAAUUUGUUUUCUAUCAGAUGUGUUGGCCCACAACCUUCAGUAGCAUCCAAGAUAGGCAUCGGAGCUGCAGCCCACCUCCCCACGCUAAGCAGCAGCCUCCCUAAUUAGCCUGUGUGCAUCACAGCAGCUGCUGCUCUGGUCAGGGUCACGCGAGGGCUUCACCCCGUGCAGUUUCUGCUCUGUGCAGGAUGGAUGCUGCGCCCUGCAGCCAGGACAGAGCAGGACAGACCCCGCUGUGGUGGUCCCAGGGCUCUUUGCAGGGGGCUGUGGUGGCCAAACUGAAGUGAGAUCGGCACUGUGGGGACGGAGGGGGGUUUCAAAGGCCUGGAGACAGCUGCAUUCAGAAAUAGAUCAGAGCAGCACUUCCAUCCAAAAGGGAAAAAUAGUAAAGAGUGGCUUCAAAAUAGCGCUGUCCGUGACAUCCCACUUGUGCACGCUUUUAAUGAGGCUGGUGCUGGUCUUAACAGGAGGAUGGCCUCAAUUCCAUUAUAGCUUUGUGCUAUUGAUACAAUGCUUCUCAUAAUGAGGGCGUUAUUAUCUUUGUUGGGAAAUGCAGAAUGCAGCAGAUGCACGGUGUUAAAUAAUGACAAAGAGACUCAGCAGGAGCCAGGAGCAUGGAUGGUGCCCUGCUGGGGACGAGGGGGCCCUCGGAUGGACACUGCGAGGAUGUGCUCUGUGCUCGUCCCUGCAGAGCAGGGCAUGGAGAUGUCUGAGCUGCUGGGUGCUUCGAUUCCUCUGCUGGGAGAGGGCUCCUGGGCUCCUGCUUUGGUCGGUGCCACGGGGCUCUCUUCCCUCAGUCUGCCCUCGGGGCCAAUCGCUCACAUCCAUGCCUUCAGUCACUUCUGUAGGUUUCAGCAGUGUGCACCUUUGGCAAGGUCUGGCCUGAGCCCAGCUGAGCCUCUGUACCACCACUGCCACAGCUGCCUCCCCCCGCCCUACUGUGAGUCACUUCCAAAGACACUUUUAGUUCAUUAAUGCUGAGAUGCAUUAAAAUGAACCUCAGUAAAAUGGCAAUGCUGAUAAAAGCAGCCCCCAUCCUCCACCCACUCCAUGCCCCAGUUGCUCAGGUUCGUUUCUGUCUUUGAAUCAGACAGAGGGAAGCUCCAAUUUUCUGCAAAAUCACGUCUGGGUCCCAAAGGGAGCCUGGAGCAGACACACAGUUGUUGUGCUCCUGCAGGGACACUGAGGGCUGCAACUGGAAGCAACAGAUUGCUCUGGGGGCAGUGGCUUUGGGGGUACAUUGGCAUGUAGUGUGCAGUCCUACACAGCCCCAAGGAGUGUAUUUGUGCUGGUGAUGGCCCAACUUCGGGAUGCAUUGUAUGGAACAAGACCAAUCAGUAACUCAAUGACAUAAGGUUUUUAGCACCAAUGAGCUGGAGAUGGUGAUCAUGGGAUGUUAUUCCAAGAGGAAAAGUCAAAUGGAAAUGGAGGAUAAGUAUGCAAGAACUAAAGCAAAGCAACUUGUUGGGGAGACCAAAGCCACCACUGGGAUAAAUCCUUAUAGAACAGAGCUGAAGAGCCAGAUGAUGACGUGCUCUUUCCGAGUGAAUUUUCUCAGGGGCAACGAGGCACAGCUGAUGAGCAGGGCAGCAUAAAUCAGCAAAGCCUCCAAUACAGCCCAGCUGCACUGAUGUGACCAGAAAGCUCCAUCAAGCUAUUAAAUCAUUUGCACAAGACAAGCAGUCAAGCCCUUCUUUACCACUAGCAACCAACAUUCUGGUAAAACUCAUCUUUAUUUUGCUGUUGUCCUCAGCAUCACAUCGGUGGCCACUUAACAAUAAGUGCCUACAGGCCCUGAAAGCAAGAAGGCAAAAUCAGCAGGAGCACAGCUGGCAGGAGCUGAGCAUUUCUGUGGGGCCUCAGACAUAGGGAGUGUGGGCUGUGGGGCUCUGCCUGCAGACUGUGAUAAUGGGAACAGGGACUGUGGGAGUUCCUGCUGACUUUCACCUGCAUCAUCAGCUCUGUGUAAAUCUGUUAGUUGUGGUGGUGGUGAUCUGAGAGUGUAGGCAAAUUAAGGUUUGUGGCAAAGAACAAAACUUUUAGCAAAACGCACAGCUAUUUUUUUUAUUAGAGCAUCCAAUACAGGUAGGACAUGGACAAGCUUUAGGGCAAAGAGGCCCCACAGGACUUCCCUGGGUGUGAAACAGAAACAAAAAGCUUCAAGGAAGAUUCAGGCUGGAAAAACAUUCAGCUUCAGUUUAACAUAAUUAUGACAACAAAUUAGAGAGUUAGGAGGCAAAUCUGCCAGUAAGCACCUGUGAAAUCAGCCUUCAUAACCCUUGUGUAUCAGUUCAAAUCUGGGAUAUUGGAAUCCUGUUACAGCCAUCACCUGAUUUCCCAGUGUUUAAAAUGCAUCUACUGUUUUGCAAGGGACACACAAGUAGGAACUGUCACCUGGCAGAUGUGGGUUGCCCAUGCUGUGAUCUGCCUGUGGGGCUUUGCACAGUCUGUUGUUUGUAUGGGGCAGCGCCCAGCCCGGCUACUUCUGUUCCAAGAACAGCAUCUCUGUGUAUGUCCCUCUUCUGAAGCAAGC